Molecule: long non-coding RNA, 717 nt
Organism: Xenia sp. Carnegie-2017
Lineage: Eukaryota; Metazoa; Cnidaria; Anthozoa; Malacalcyonacea; Xeniidae
Exons: 2
Source: RefSeq, a predicted model, not a curated record
UCAAACACGACAUGCGCAGAACGCGUUGUAAAUGUAAAAUAUGGGAUAGCCCCAUUGAGUCUAAUAGAACUCAAUUGAUAGCCCUAUAUCAAAAUUUUGUCUUUUGAGGCAAGGAAGACGUAUGAAAUGGCUUGUCGUCCUAAUGUUUACGAAAGUGGAUAUGAAGAAUCGAGAUUUAAGACUGUUGUUGAUGAAAAUUUUUACUGUUCAAUUUGUCUGAAUGUCAUGAAAGAUGCCAGAAUGUGCCAUAAUCAACACAGUUUUUGUCGUGAAUGUAUUGAAGAACAUCUACGAGUUAAUGCACAAAGAUGUCCUCAAUGUCAAGAUGAUUUAACUGUAGCUACGCUUCAUCCAGCGCGUGUUAUAAAUAAUAUGAUUUCAAAGUUAAAGAUCAACUGCGACUACGCCAGUCGUGGUUGUCCUGAAUUAUAAAUGUCGAAGAUCUUGAAAGACAUGUUGAAAAUUGUGGCUUUGCUCCAGUGUUGUGUUCUAAUGAACGUUGUGGUCUGGAAAUAAACAAACGAGACAAGAUUAAACAUGAAACUGAAUUAUGUGAAUACAGAAAGAUUGCUUCUCACGACUUUCGAGAGAUUAGCGAAAUGUUUCAACGAAGUUUUGAAGACAAAAUGGAAAUGCAAAUGAACAACAAGCAGGAAAAUAGACGAAAAAUUUUUUGAAGUAAAAGAUUCCGUGAAACCAUUGACAUCUCAGUAUAAA